CUUCGGGAAACCGGAGCUAAUACCGGAUAAUAUUUCGAACCGCAUGGUUCGAUAGUGAAAGAUGGUUUUGCUAUCACUUAUAGAUGGACCCGCGCCGUAUUAGCUAGUUGGUAAGGUAACGGCUUACCAAGGCGACGAUACGUAGCCGACCUGAGAGGGUGAUCGGCCACACUGGAACUGAGACACGGUCCAGACUCCUACGGGAGGCAGCAGCC
Molecule: ribosomal RNA, 215 nt
Filed under: uncultured Staphylococcus sp.
Lineage: Bacteria; Bacillati; Bacillota; Bacilli; Caryophanales; Staphylococcaceae
Description: partial 16S ribosomal RNA
Rfam family: Bacterial small subunit ribosomal RNA
Source: RNAcentral